UACGAAGGGGGCUAGCGUUGUUCGGAAUCACUGGGCGUAAAGCGCACGUAGGCGGAUAUUUAAGUCAGGGGUGAAAUCCCGCAGCUCAACUGCGGAACUGCCUUUGAUACUGGGUAUCUUGAGUAUGGAAGAGGUUAGUGGAAUUGCGAGUGUAGAGGUGAAAUUCGUAGAUAUUCGCAGGAACACCAGUGGCGAAGGCGGCUAACUGGUCCAUAACUGACGCUGAGGUGCGAAAGCGUGGGGAGCAAACAGG
Molecule: ribosomal RNA, 253 nt
Filed under: uncultured bacterium
Lineage: Bacteria
Description: partial 16S ribosomal RNA
Rfam family: Bacterial small subunit ribosomal RNA
Source: RNAcentral